GGGCAGGCUAUACCGGGAGGUUAGCCGUCUCUUGUAACAGUACAUCGGCUUUAUGACUGGGUUAUGCAGGAGGUGAGGCAUAGCACAGGCUUGUAGGUCUUGGACUCUACUGUGAGAUUCUGUCCUGCAGGAUUGCAGCUGUAGGAAUCGCGUCAGGCCGGGAACGGAGCAGCGCUAACUAUUGUUGUCAAUGCUUGCAGGGUAGCGGAAUUGAGGAAGGUUCAGGAUAAGCCUAUUGGUUUGUUUUGUGUCGAUCCUUUUGUGCCUGCCC
This 271-nucleotide signal recognition particle RNA is filed under the name Candidatus Woesearchaeota archaeon. RNAcentral describes it as "signal recognition particle sRNA". It matches the Rfam family "Archaeal signal recognition particle RNA". The record is from RNAcentral. Lineage: Archaea; Nanobdellati; Candidatus Woesearchaeota.